AUGAACGCUAGCUACAGGCUUAACACAUGCAAGUCGAGGGCAGCAUGAACAUAGCUUGCUAUGUUUGAUGGCGACCGGCGCACGGGUGCGUAACACGUAUCCAAUCUACCAUGGCUCGGGGAUAGCCUUUCGAAAGAAAGAUUAAUACCCGAUGGUCUCGGUUUAAGGCAUCUUAGACUGAGUAAAGAUUUAUCGGCGAUGAAGGAUGGGGAUGCGUUUCAUUAGGUAGUAGGCGGGGUAACGGCCCACCUAGCCGACGAUGAAUAGGGGUUCUGAGAGGAAGGUCCCCCACACUGGAACUGAGACACGGACCAGACUCCUACGGGAGGCAGCAGUGAGGAAUAUUGGUCAAUGGGCGGAAGCCUGAACCAGCCAAGUAGCGUGAAGGAUUACUGCCCUACGGGUUUUAAACUUCUUUUAUGCGAGAGUAAUGUGCGCUACGUGUAGCGUAUUGCAAGUAUCGCAUGAAUAAGCAUCGGCUAACUCCGUG
This 490-nucleotide ribosomal RNA is filed under the name uncultured bacterium. RNAcentral's name for it is "bacterial SSU rRNA". It matches the Rfam family "Bacterial small subunit ribosomal RNA", at positions 29 to 507 of the family's 1533-position model. The record is from RNAcentral.